UUGCUUUGAUAGCAGAUAUACUAAAACUGGAACAAUACAGAGAAAGUUGGCAUGACUCCUACAUAGAGAUGACACACAAAUUAGUGAAGCAUUCCUUAUGUUU
Small nuclear RNA from Manis pentadactyla (Chinese pangolin), 103 nucleotides. The record is from RefSeq and is a predicted model, not a curated record. Lineage: Eukaryota; Metazoa; Chordata; Mammalia; Pholidota; Manidae.